GAAGUUCAAGAAGAAGGCCUUCAAAGCAACAUGGGAUGAGUCAAGUGAUUCCGAAGAAGAGGAGGUUGGUGAUGAAAUUGCCAACAUGUGCUUCAUGGCUCUAGAGGAAAGCUCCGAUGAGGUAACUACUCUUGAUGACUUUACUUCAAAUGAUGAUGAUGUUGAGUUUUCAUAUGAUGAACUUGUAGGUGCUUUAAAAUUGAUGAAUGAUGAGCUUGAAAAGAGUCAUAGGAAAAAUAAAAUUUUGAAAUGUGAGUUAGCUAGCUUUAAAAAGGAAAGUGAGAACUCACCUAAGGAAC
This 299-nucleotide long non-coding RNA is filed under the name Manihot esculenta (cassava). RNAcentral describes it as "long non-coding RNA (MESC_LNC004490)". The record is from RNAcentral. Lineage: Eukaryota; Viridiplantae; Streptophyta; Magnoliopsida; Malpighiales; Euphorbiaceae.